Molecule: non-coding RNA, 1345 nt
Organism: Arachis ipaensis
Lineage: Eukaryota; Viridiplantae; Streptophyta; Magnoliopsida; Fabales; Fabaceae
Source: RefSeq, a predicted model, not a curated record
UCUUAAAACAACUUCUUCCUUUAAUUAAUUCUCCUUCAUCUUCUACUUCAAUAUUUAUUUCCUCUUCACCUUACAGUUGCAUUUCGACUGCGAUGUGAGGAAUCCAACAUGGGCAUCGGUUAUGUAUAGGGUCUUCAUAUGCAUCGUUUGCUCCGCUAUUCGUCGCAUCUUCGAAGUACAUAUUAGCUUUCUCAGAAAAGUUUCUUUGCUGAUUGUUUAAAUUGUGAUGAUUUCAUGAUAAGUUUUUUCGUGGAUGUUGGCAUUAGAAAUCUGGUAAGACAAGUUAACAACUUGCUCUUCUUUCUUGACACACUGGUAAGUAAGUGAAUGCAUUUCAAUUGUCUUGAAGAGGACGGCAUGAGGGUUGAGUUCUUUAAGGUGUUAUAUAUGUAAUGUUUGUUCAUCUGAGCUUUAAUGACUCUGACAAUUUAUGGCAUUGUAAAUUUUGUCUUUUGGCUUUAAUGACUCUGACAAUUCUUUCUUUUAAUUUUUCUUUCAAUACUAACUAUUUCUUAUUCAUUCUCACCUACAUUUAUUUUCCACCUCUUCAGACAAGUCAAAAGAAUAUGAAAUUUCAAAUUUCAAUUUUGAAUUGAAAAAACAAGUAUAUUUAUAAUCUCCUGUUUUCAUUGUUUACUGUAUUCAGUCGUUCUUCUGGCGCGUGCUACAGCUGUGGUGGGGAUAAGCCAUAUGGCCAGGGAUUGCAACCAAGGAGGACGCAGAUGUGGAGGCAUGCACGGCAACGGUGGUGGCAGCGGAUCCGCUACAACUAUGGGGAUUCUGGGUACUUUACAAGGGACUUCUAAACAAGCUCUUUGAAAACAAAAUGUGUUUCGAUUGCAAUGUGAAGAAUCCAACAUGAGCGUCCAUUACGUAUGGCUUCUUCAUAUGCAUCGAUUGCUCCGCUGUUCUUCGCAGUCUAAGAGUGCAUAUCAGCUUCUGGUGAAAUUCAAAUUCCAUAUGGACUUUUCUCUUAUAUGUACAAAUGGAGAUGGAUUUGCAAUUAGCAAAGCAGCAGAUAAAAUUGAAGGCAUUCAUGGUAAGUUGCUAAAUGAAGCUGAGGUGGCAGCAGCUAUUGAAGAGAAAGAAACUCAUGCUUUUGAAAUUAAUCCUUUUCAGUUUUGGUUUAGUAGCACUUGCCUUUUUUCAGACUUCGAUGGAGGGAAGAAGUAAUCUUCAGUACUUUUGAACGAUUUGCUAUACAAGUGAUACAAUUGGUACCCCAAAAGAGUGAUUUGAGAGGUUUCUCAACUUCAAUCCAUUAAGAAAUAGUCUAUAUAUACAAAUUAAAAUUUGUUGUAUCAUUCGUUUUCACUGUAAAUCUAAUGAGAGACCAAUAUUAUUU